UUGGAAGUAUCCCAACUUACUAAUCAUACUUCUAACCAUGUUGAUCAAUGUUCUGUUCCACAUUCUUAAAGAUAAAGAGCAAAAGGUCCCAUAUUCUGUCCAGCAUCUGUAUGCGUACCAUAAUACUCACCUCCCCUAUCUGAUCUAACAACUUUAAUGACUUUACUUAAUUGUUUCUCUGCCUCAUCCAUAAAAAUUUUAAAGACGUCUAAAGCCUGUGACUUUUCAGAAAUAAGAAAUACAUGCAGAACCUCGAAAAAUCAUCAAUAAAGGUAAUAAAAUACUGAUUUUGCAAAGAGUCAGAAGAGGAAAAGGACCACAGAUGUCACUCAUGUCAGUGUGGAUUAAUUUUAAUAGUUCUUGGGCUCCUAACAGAACCUUUUUACUAGACUUGGUCGUUUUACCCUUAAGACACUCAAUGCAGACAUCAAAAUCAGUAAAAUCUAAAGAAGGUAGAAAGUCCACAUUCAGUCUUACAAUUUCCCACUUGGACUAUCAAUAUUCAAACAACAAGAAAAGCUACUGCAUCAGAUAUAGCAAAACUGAAGUCUGCACAAAAACAUCCAGCACCAUCAAAACCAUUCCAAAACUCAGCCAUUCUGUAAUCCCCAUUAUAUUGAACCACAGCAAAUCUACACUUAACCAAGAAUUAGCACCUGCGACUACAAUCCAAUAUCUUACAGAACACAGGAGUAAACUUAAGGCAUAUGAAACAUUAACUUGCUAAACAUAGUGCAAGUAAACUGAUCCAAACUUAAUAGAUUCUCAAUAGCUAAGGAAUCUGCUACUUCAAACACUAAAAAUACAUACAAGUAUACAUUGAAAUUCUGUAACUAAUGCUAAUGAACUAAAAUAACAACUUUUACUCGAGCAAGAGGAAAAAUGCAGAAAACUGAUUCAAUAAUACUACUUUAGUCAGAUAUUUGAAUAAUUAAAAUACAGAUAUUAAGUCUACUGCAAUGCAGGAUUGAACUCUCCCACUAACCUAAGACAUCAAAACUUGGUAAGAUACCCAUAUUUGUAACAUUAUUCUGGAAAGUACUAACUCCUAAGGGUUUUGUAAGUGGAUCUGCCAACUGAUCUUGAGUACGGAUCUUAAAAACAUAAAUCUCAUCAUCUCUUACGCUUUCCCUUGCGGCAUAGUACUUGACGUCAAUAUUAUCACAAUACAACCUAAUCGGUCUCUCGAUAGAGUCUACCACCCCAAUCUAUGCAACAAAGUUUCUGAGCCAAAGUGAGUGCUUGCCCUAUAGCUUCAUGGACAGCAACAUAUUCAGCUUGCAAAGUUAGAGACUGUUUCACACUCUUCCAAGAUAUUGCCCCUCCGGCCAGCAUAAAAUAUACCCUGAGGUUGACUUAAGAUCAUCCACACAACCCUUAUAAUCUAAAUCACUGUAUCCAACUACUUCCAAGUCAGUAUCAAGAUUUCUAUAAACCAGCAUGUAAUCUAGAGGUCCUAUUGCAUAUAUAGAUAGCAGUCCUCAAUGCCUUCCCCCCCCCCCCCCCAAACCACAAGAAUCUUGGUAAGUGUCCCGACUUACUAAUCAUACUUCUAACCAUGUUGAUCAACGUUCUGUUCCACAUUCUUGAAGAUAAAGAGCAAAAGGUCCCAUAUUCUGUCCAGCAUCUGUAUGCCUACCAUAAUACUCACCUCCCCUAUCUGAUCAAACAACUUUAAUGACUUUACUUAAUUGUUUCUCUGCCUCAGCCUUAAAAAUUUUAAAGAGGUCUAAAGCCUGUGACUUUUCAGAAAUAAGAAAUACAGGCAGAACCUCGAAAAAUCAUCAAUAAAGGUUAUUACUGAUUUUUACAAAGAGUCAGAAGAGGAAAAGGACCACAGAUGUCACUCAUGUCAGUGUGGAUUAAUUCUAAUAGUUCUUGGGCUCCUAAGAGACCCCUUUUUACUAGACUUGGUCGUUUUACCCUUAAGACACUCAAUGCAGACGUCAAAAUCAGUAAUAUCUAAAGAAGGUAGAAUGUCCUCUCUCACAAGUAUUUUUAACCUCUCUUUUGAGAUAUGUCCCAACCUUUUAUGCCAAAGAAAAGCUGAAUUCUCAUUGUGUCUAGGUCUCUUAUGUCCUAUAAUCUUUUCUGUCAAAAAUUCCUCAAGUGAAUUUCUACAGUUUAAAUGCCAAUAACCAUCAACAAGAGAUGCAUUACCAAUAAAAUCAGAAAAAUGGAAGAAAUCGAGACUUUUAUUAUCUCCAACAAAAUAAUAACCAUGAGUUUUCACAAAACGAGAUCCUGAAACUAAAUUUCUCUGCAUAGAAGGUAUGCAGUACACAUUCUCCAGAUCUAAAGUAAAGCCACUAGGAAAAACUAGCCUAACUACUUCAAUUGCUUUAACUGCUACUCUGUUUCCAUUCCCUGAGCUAAUCCUAGCUUCAUCCUUAUUUGGGAUCCGAUUUCUUAGAUAUCCUUGCAUAGAGGUAAUGACAUGUAUAGGUGAAGCAGUGUCAACCCACCAAGAACUAGAAGACACACUAACACUGUUAUUUUCUAAAUGAAAAACAGAUUUGUUUUGAAAAAUAUUACCUUUCUUAACAAGCCAGUCUUUAAAACCCUUGCAAUCUUUUUGACAUGACAGGCUUUCGGCAGAAGAAACACUUUACAGAUCCACUCUUAAAAAAUUUUAAAUUGUUAGAUCCCUGAGAAGUUCCCUGAGAAACUUUAGAAGAUGAAGCACCAAAUUGAUUUGACCUAUAGCCGAAUUUCUUUUUAAACUGAGUCUUGCUGACAAGAUUCACUCCAAUGCUCUUCCCUUUCUUAAUUCUAUCCUCUUCUUGAACACAAAUUGAAAUCAAUUCAUUCACAGACCAACUCUCCUUCUGUGUAUUAUAGUUUGACUGCAUCUAACUUAAGCCCAGCAAACAACUAAUAUGAAGAUCAAAACUCAAUUCUCAAAAGACACAAUCUUAAUUAAUCAAAGCAAUGCAUUAUAUAUAAAAGGCUAAGCAGCAGAUAAGCAUGAAUCAUACAACAUGUUUAUAUCAAUUGCAGACACAUAGAAACUUCAUUCAAUUUUACACAGGCAUCAUUCCAAUCCAAAACACAAAAUCAUGCAACUGAAGGUAAGUUUCUUCCGGCAUGCAUCUAGGGUUCUUGUGCUUUAUAGAAAUCAUAGACAUGUUUUGAAUUGAAAACAAAAAUUUCCAGAAAAUCAGAUUUUAAAACCUUAUGCUGUUUCAUACCAAAGUGCGGAAGCAUACCAGGAUACUUUACGUGCUUCUUGUCGAUGAAGGGAGACCCAAUUAGACAGACUGUGGGAUUCUUCGAUCAUGAUCCCAAUUAUGUUGAAGGAAAAUUUAGGCGGAAAAACUUUCAAUCAAGAUCACCAUCGAAGAACCCUAGAAACCCUAGA
RNAcentral lists this long non-coding RNA (3361 nucleotides) under Fragaria vesca (wild strawberry). RNAcentral describes it as "long non-coding RNA (FVES_LNC003458)". The record is from RNAcentral. Lineage: Eukaryota; Viridiplantae; Streptophyta; Magnoliopsida; Rosales; Rosaceae.